UACGGAGGAUGCAAGCGUUAUCCGGAUUUAUUGGGUUUAAAGGGUGCGCAGGUUGUUUGAUAAGUCAGUGGUGAAAGUCUGUCGCUUAACGGUAGGAUUGCCAUUGAUACUGUUAGACUUGAAUAUGGAUGAGGUAGGCGGAAUGUGUAGUGUAGCGGUGAAAUGCUUAGAUAUUACACAGAACACCGAUUGCGAAGGCAGCUUACUAAUCCAUCAUUGACGCUGAGGCACGAAAGCGUGGGGAGUCAAACAGGA
Molecule: ribosomal RNA, 255 nt
Filed under: uncultured prokaryote
Description: partial 16S ribosomal RNA
Rfam family: Bacterial small subunit ribosomal RNA
Source: RNAcentral